AUGCAUGCAUGCAUACUAAAACUGAAAUGAUUCAGAGAAGAUUAGCAUGGCCCUGUGUAACAAUGACACACGAGUUCAUGAAGCAAUACAUAUUUUU
Molecule: small nuclear RNA, 97 nt
Organism: Cervus hanglu yarkandensis (Yarkand deer)
Lineage: Eukaryota; Metazoa; Chordata; Mammalia; Artiodactyla; Cervidae
Source: Ensembl